RNAcentral lists this ribosomal RNA (227 nucleotides) under Klebsiella pneumoniae. Its description in RNAcentral is "partial 16S ribosomal RNA". It matches the Rfam family "Bacterial small subunit ribosomal RNA", at positions 1307 to 1533 of the family's 1533-position model. RNAcentral also lists the same sequence under 2 other names. Lineage: Bacteria; Pseudomonadati; Pseudomonadota; Gammaproteobacteria; Enterobacterales; Enterobacteriaceae. The record is from RNAcentral.
GCAACUCGACUCCAUGAAGUCGGAAUCGCUAGUAAUCGUAGAUCAGAAUGCUACGGUGAAUACGUUCCCGGGCCUUGUACACACCGCCCGUCACACCAUGGGAGUGGGUUGCAAAAGAAGUAGGUAGCUUAACCUUCGGGAGGGCGCUUACCACUUUGUGAUUCAUGACUGGGGUGAAGUCGUAACAAGGUAACCGUAGGGGAACCUGCGGUUGGAUCACCUCCUUA